GGGACACCACCUCAGCAUGGCGUGUAGGCCCACACCCAGGAUCCAAGCUGGAGAACCCUGGGCCGCUGAAGCGGAGCGUGAAAACUUAACCACUCGGCCACGGGGCUGGCCUCAAGGGCUGAUAUGUCUAAAUGAGCAAUACAAUAAAGACACAAUUCAUGUAUGGUUAUAUAUUUAUCCAUAAAAUUAAUCUUCCUGGUUUUCAUUUCAGCAAAACCACUAAUUAUGUUGUUAUAAUCAAUAUUUUCACAUCAUUUGCGUCCUAUUAAAAGUAAUGCACACUAGAUGACCUUUCUCGAAUCUUUGGGUUUUUUUAAAUUUUCAAUGUGGAGAAAUUUUGCUCUGCAGAGGCAGCAGCAAUUGAAAUUGUCAAUAAAAUUCUUAAAGCAAUACUUUGAUUUGGAAAUGGAUCAUGAGUUUUAUAUACCAACAUUGUAAUUGGGUUGCAUCUGAUAUAUUCAUGAUCACAGACACUGUUACAAAUGUUUUAAUUUCAUCCUAUAAAUCACUAUCAUUUAUUUCAUGAUUUUCAAAAUCUCUUAAAACAAUAUUUAAAAAUAUACAGAUGCACAUAGUGUUGUAAAGAGUUGAUAUCAGGCUUCACACAUAUUGUUGGUGCACCUGCAUACAUCUGCAUUCAAGUGUACCGUGAACUGUUGUGGAUAUUGUGCUAAUUCACGAGUAAUUCCAGAACCAUCCGUUGGAACAUGAAGAGAAACCAGAGACUGUUGCAGGCAGGCCACUUGGAGAGGAGGAUGGCACAGCUACGUCAUCUUCCCUCUCUCCCAGGAGCUUCUACCACCAGCAUCUUCCUCGCUCUCCGAGGCAGCGUCAGAUCUGAGGUCAGCAGUGGCACACUCUACAAACCUUUGCAGCUUUGGGCGUGGUUACCUUCUGCUUGGAGAACACGGGGCAAAAGAUGUAGGGGAUACCUUGGGGCCUGGAGGGUGUCAGUCACCUGCAGAUGUUCAGCAUUGGGGGUUACACUGAGCCCGUGCCAUGUGACAGAGGGCCUUCUAAAGUGAUGGGCCCAGGAGCCCACCCGCCCAGGGUGAUGGCCAGUACUGCACUGCUUGCUAAAUAACCAUAUAAAUAUUACUGUAGUGGAUUGAAUGGUGGUCCCCGAACAGAUAUACCCACAUCCUAGUCCCUAGAACCCGUGAAUGUGACCUUAUUUUUGCAGAUGUGUUAAAUUAGGGGUCUCGAGAUAAGAUCAUUCUGGAUUAUCUAGGUAGGCCCUAAAUACAAUAAUGUGUCCUUCUAAGAGACAAAUAGAAGAGAGACAGAGGGAGAAGGGGAGAAGGCUGCAUGAACGUGGAGGCAGAGACUGGAGCGAUGCAUGCAGCCCCAAGCCAAGGAAUGCCCACAGCCACUGGAAGCUGCUAGAGGCGGGGAAGGAUACUCCCCAGAGCCUUCAGGGGAGCACCGAGCUGCCAACACCUUGCUUUCAGACUCCUGGUCCCUAGAGCUGCAAGAGAAUAAAUUUCUGUUGUGUUAAGUUACCAAAUUUGCGGUAAUUCGUCAUGGCAGCCCUAGGAGAUGAGGGCUAAGUACAAUUUCCCACAAUGUCCAGCAUUUGUCGGGGCUGAUUGUGUACCAGGCACUCUGCUGAGCCCUCUCUACAAGCAUCAUCUCACUUAAGCCUCACAAGGCACUGUUCUCACCCUCACUUUACAGAGGAGCGGAGAGAGGUUCUAAAAGGCAGGAAGCUGGCCCGAGGCCACGUGGCCAGGAAGCUGGGAUCUGAACCCAGGUCCGUCUGCUGCAAAGAUCUUAGAGCACCCGGAAGCCUCCUCGCCUGGUGACACAGCCGGCUGUAAGAUGGAUUUACCCUGUGCUUGGUGGCUUCUAGCUGAAUGUCACCUCCUCUUUGUCCCCCUACUUAAAAGAGGCCCACAUCUUUUAGCACUCUCUGCUCUAACCCUCGGCAAUUUACCACCACCUCAGAAGUGAGAUAUAAAUUACAACAGACCAUUCUUCGAACUCAACCGAUCAUGGGAACACUGUUUGCUGUUACAAAGAAACAUUCUAGGCAUACACAAUCACGCCUAGUUCUUUGCAUCUAUUUAGCCUCGGGGUCAUUCGGGUUUAUUCGCACACAUUGCCAAGAUGAAUCAGAAAUCUGGAGAAACCAUUUGUUCUUGGAGAAGGACAGCAGUCAGGAGGGUUUUUUGUUAGUUUCUUUUUGUUGAUUUUGAAUUUGUAUGAAGACUAUGUCCCGGUCCCAGGAGAAAACAGACAGAAAAGUUUGUUUUCUUAAGACUUAAAAUAUAUUCUCUGAGCUCACUAAGCCAUCAGAACAUGCCACCGGGCUCUGACGAUGGCGUGAUUUAGGGAGUAAGCAUUUCUUUCCGCUCUAUGUUUGCCCUGUCUUUUGGGGACUAGAAGAGAUUGUUGUCCAUCUGCUGACAAGCCCCAAAACUGUGUGUGUGUGUGUGUGUGUGUGUGAGUGUGAGUGUGUGUGUGGUGUGGCUGGGGGAAGGGGGUCUGGAUGAGGUGGUUACUUUUAUGUUGUUACCCUUCAUUUAUUUUCUUUCAAACAAAAGCUACCCCAUUUCACAGGUGGAAACACUGAGUCCUGGUGGAUGGAAACGAUGUUCUCCAAGGUAACUCAACCAGACAGACUUAACUACAAAUGCCAUGCUGUCCUCUCAAGAAACCAUUCCAUUUAGUGAAAACGAGACCGGUUAUGCAAUGAGUUUGAGGCUAAUUUUAAAGCAAGUCAUGUGUCCUUCCCGUUGCUCUGACCCAAAUACGAGACAGGGACUCAAAGUUGCACACAAAGAAUACCCAAAACAAUCAGGACACUCGACAUGAGCCAUCUGGUUGAUGACGGGAAUGCAAGCGUCAUUUUUCAGCCACCGCAAGGCUCCGGCACUGGGGACUCGUUCAGCGUUCCAGUUAGGACACCGCCCGGAGACUGUGCCAGAGACCGGCCCCAGGUCGCUAGUUCUGUCUGCAGCCAGAUUUCUAGAGCAGUAAAGAGAAGCUAACCUAACCUCUCUCACAAAGGUCUGCAGCGCGCCGUCACUGGGCCCGGGCCCUAGGGCUUCCCUCUUCUCUCACGUCUCUCAACCAAAACCCGCUCCCGGGAAAGAAGACGAGAAAUUCAUCCGCAUCAAGGAGAACGGACAAAUUUAUCUUCCUGGGAGUGUCCCGGAAAAAUAAUGGGUCUCUGGGCAGUUUCAGAUACCAGAGAGAGAGCCAGGAAGAAGAUAUGUGAGAUCUAUGCAUGGAACCACGGAACUUUCUGUCUGGCUAGCAGGGGAGGCUAACAAACAGAACUUCAUGUGGAUGUUUUGAAACAAGAAAGCAGGCUGAGCGUUGGCUGAGCAGAACUGCAAACCAGUUUUCCCCACUCUCAGUGUGGAGAUGACCAAGAGUCUGUCGUGGAAGAGAGAUUCAGAGCCAGGCCGGCUGCGAACUGAUACUGCCAGAUGGCAGAGCCGUCAAAAUAUUUAGCUGUGAAGCCCACACUGUGUUCGGGAAGAGGCUGAACUCACCU
Equus quagga is the source of this 3505-nucleotide long non-coding RNA. RefSeq lists it as uncharacterized. The transcript has 4 exons. NCBI's taxonomy places the organism in Eukaryota, Metazoa, Chordata, Mammalia, Perissodactyla, Equidae. The record is from RefSeq and is a predicted model, not a curated record.